AGUGAACGCUGGCGGUAGGCCUAACACAUGCAAGUCGAACGGCAGCACAGUAAGAGCUUGCUCUUACGGGUGGCGAGUGGCGGACGGGUGAGGCAUACAUCGGAAUCUACUUUUUCGUGGGGGAUAACGUAGGGAAACUUACGCUAAUACCGCAUACGACCUACGGGUGAAAGCAGUGGAUCUUCGGACCUUGCGCGAUUGAAUUAGCCGAUGUCGGAUUAGCUAGUUGGCGGGGUAAAGGCCCACCAAGGCGACGAUCCGUAGCUGGUCUGAGAGGAUUAUCAGCCACACUGGAACUGAGACACGGUCCAGACUCCUACGGGAGGCAGCAGUGGGGAAUAUUGGACAAUGGGCGCAAGCCUGAUCCAGCAAUACCGCGUGGGUGAAGAAGGCCUUCGGGUUGUAAAGCCCUUUUGUUGGGAAAGAAAAGCAGCAGGUUAAUACCCCGCUGUUCUGACGGUACCCAAAGAAUAAGCACCGGCUAACUUCGUG
This 492-nucleotide ribosomal RNA is filed under the name uncultured bacterium. RNAcentral's name for it is "partial 16S ribosomal RNA". It matches the Rfam family "Bacterial small subunit ribosomal RNA", at positions 29 to 507 of the family's 1533-position model. The record is from RNAcentral.